This 68-nucleotide transfer RNA is filed under the name Loxodonta africana (African savanna elephant). It matches the Rfam family "tRNA". Rfam says of the family: Transfer RNA (tRNA) molecules are approximately 80 nucleotides in length. Their secondary structure includes four short double-helical elements and three loops (D, anti-codon, and T loops). The record is from Rfam by way of RNAcentral. Lineage: Eukaryota; Metazoa; Chordata; Mammalia; Proboscidea; Elephantidae.
GGUGGCUCAGUGGUUAAAGUGCUUGGCUGCUAACCAGAAGGUUGGUGGUCUGAAUCCACCAGCCACCC